AUUGAACGCUGGCGGCAGGCCUAACACAUGCAAGUCGAGCGGAUGAAGGGAGCUUGCUCCUGGAUUCAGCGGCGGACGGGUGAGUAAUGCCUAGGAAUCUGCCUGGUAGUGGGGGAUAACGUCCGGAAACGGGCGCUAAUACCGCAUACGUCCUGAGGGAGAAAGUGGGGGAUCUUCGGACCUCACGCUAUCAGAUGAGCCUAGGUCGGAUUAGCUAGUUGGUGGGGUAAAGGCCUACCAAGGCGACGAUCCGUAACUGGUCUGAGAGGAUGAUCAGUCACACUGGAACUGAGACACGGUCCAGACUCCUACGGGAAGCAGCAGUGGGGAAUAUUGGACAAUGGGCGAAAGCCUGAUCCAGCCAUGCCGCGUGUGUGAAGAAGGUCUUCGGAUUGUAAAGCACUUUAAGCUGGGAGGAAGGGCAGUAAGUUAAUACCUUGCUGUUUUGACGUUACCAACAGAAUAAGCACCGGCUAACUUCGUG
Molecule: ribosomal RNA, 484 nt
Filed under: uncultured bacterium
Lineage: Bacteria
Description: partial 16S ribosomal RNA
Rfam family: Bacterial small subunit ribosomal RNA
Source: RNAcentral